GACGAACGCUGGCGGCGUGCCUAACACAUGCAAGUCGAACGGACUUGACGGAAGCUUGCUUUUGUCAAGUUAGUGGCGGACGGGCGAGUAACGCGUGAGCAACCUGCCCUUCAGUGGGGAAUAACGACCGGAAACAGUCGCUAAUACCGCAUAACGUAUUCUGGUGGCAUCAUCGGGAUACCAAAGGAGCAAUUCGCUGAAGGAUGGGCUCGCGUCCGAUUAGCUAGUUGGUGAGGUAACGGCCCACCAAGGCGACGAUCGGUAGCCGAACUGAGAGGUUGAUCGGCCGCAUUGGGACUGAGACACGGCCCAGACUCCUACGGGAGGCAGCAGUGGGGGAAUAUUGCACAAUGGGGGGAACCCUGAUGCAGCAACGCCACGUGUGGGAAGAAGCAUUUCGGUGUGUAAACCACUGUCGGAAGGGAAUAAUAAUGACGGUACCUCUUGAAUAAGCCACGGCUAACUACGUG
RNAcentral lists this ribosomal RNA (470 nucleotides) under uncultured bacterium. RNAcentral's name for it is "bacterial SSU rRNA". It matches the Rfam family "Bacterial small subunit ribosomal RNA", at positions 28 to 507 of the family's 1533-position model. The record is from RNAcentral.